AGCAGCCGCGGUAAUUCCAGCUCCAAUAGCGUAUAUUAAAGUUGUUGCAGUUAAAAAGCUCGUAGUUGAAUUUUGGAUUCUACCAUUUGGUCCAUCUUUUAGAUGAGUACUGAAUGUGUGGGGUCUAUCCGCCUGAUAAUACGUAAUGUUCUUUAUUGAAUGUUACGGGUAGUCAGGACUUUUACCUUGAAAAAAUUAGAGUGUUUAAAGCAGGCUUAUGCCGGAAUACAUUAGCAUGGAAUAAUAGAAUAGGACGAAGUUGUUUUAUUUUGUUGGUUUUUAGGACAACCGUAAUGAUUAAUAGGGAUAGUUGGGGGCAUUAGUAUUCAAUUGUCAGAGGUGAAAUUCUUGGAUUUAUUGAAGACUAACUACUGCGAAAGCAUUUGCCAAGGAUGUUUUCAUUAAUCAAGAACGAAAGUUAGGGGAUCGAAGACGAUCAGAUACCGUCGUAGUCUUAACCAUAAACUAUGCCGACUAGGGAUCGGGCGAUGUUGUUUCCAUGACUCGCUCGGCACCUUAUG
This 521-nucleotide ribosomal RNA is filed under the name uncultured Archaeosporaceae. Its description in RNAcentral is "SSU rRNA". It matches the Rfam family "Eukaryotic small subunit ribosomal RNA", at positions 569 to 1092 of the family's 1831-position model. The record is from RNAcentral. Lineage: Eukaryota; Fungi; Glomeromycota; Glomeromycetes; Archaeosporales; Archaeosporaceae.